AAGCACCGGCGGACGGCUCAGUAACACGUGGACAACCUGCCCUCGGGAGGGGGAUAACCCCGGGAAACUGGGGCUAAACCCCCAUAGGAGAUGGAUACUGGAAUGUUCCAUCUCCGAAAGUCCGCAAGGAGCCCGAGGAUGGGUCUGUGGCGGAUUAGGUAGUUGGUGGGGUAACGGCCUACCAAGCCUAAGAUCCGUACGGGCCAUGGGAGUGGGAGCCCGGAGAUGGACCCUGAGACAAGGGUCCAGGCCCUACGGGGCGCAGCAGGCGCGAAACCUCCGCAAUGCGGGAAACCGCGACGGGGUCAGCCGGAGUGCCGAUGCUUGCAUCGGCUGUCGGGGAGCCUAAAAAGCUCCCCAUAGCAAGGGCCGGGCAAGGCCGGUGGCAGCCGCCGCGGUAAUACCGGCGGCCCGAGUGGCGGUCACUAUUAUUGGGCUUAAAGCGUCCGUAGCCGGGUUGGGAAGCCCUCCGGGAAAUCUGGCCGCUUAACGGUCAGAAUGCCGGAGGAUACUCCCAGCCUAGGGAGCGGGAGAGGCCGAGGGUAUUCCCGGAGUAGGGGUGAAAUCCUAUAAUCCCGGGAGGACCACCUGUGGCGAAGG
Molecule: ribosomal RNA, 600 nt
Filed under: uncultured archaeon
Lineage: Archaea
Description: bacterial SSU rRNA
Rfam family: Archaeal small subunit ribosomal RNA
Source: RNAcentral